This 233-nucleotide ribosomal RNA is filed under the name uncultured bacterium. RNAcentral's name for it is "partial 16S ribosomal RNA". It matches the Rfam family "Bacterial small subunit ribosomal RNA", at positions 523 to 755 of the family's 1533-position model. The record is from RNAcentral.
AUACGUAUGGUGCAAGCGUUAUCCGGAUUUACUGGGUGUAAAGGGAGCGUAGGUGGCAAGGCAAGCCAGAAGUGAAAACCCGGGGCUCAACCGCGGGAUUGCUUUUGGAACUGUCAUGCUGGAGUGCAGGAGGGGUGAGCGGAAUUCCUAGUGUAGCGGUGAAAUGCGUAGAUAUUAGGAGGAACACCAGUAGCGAAGGCGGCUUUCUGGACUGUAACUGACACUGAGGCACG